Molecule: ribosomal RNA, 1148 nt
Filed under: Listeria monocytogenes
Lineage: Bacteria; Bacillati; Bacillota; Bacilli; Caryophanales; Listeriaceae
Description: partial 23S ribosomal RNA
Rfam family: Bacterial large subunit ribosomal RNA
Source: RNAcentral
GACACAGAAGGAUAGGGAAUCGCACGAAUGGAAAUGUGCGUCCAAGCAGUGAGUGUGAGAAGUAGGCAAAUCCGCUUCUCGCGAAGCAUGAGCUGUGAUGGGGAAGGAAAUUAAGUACGGAAGUUCCUGAUUUCACGCUGUCAAGAAAAGCCUCUAGGAAGAGUAGUACUGCCCGUACCGCAAACCGACACAGGUAGAUGAGGAGAGAAUCCUAAGGUGAGCGAGAGAACUCUCGUUAAGGAACUCGGCAAAAUGACCCCGUAACUUCGGGAGAAGGGGUGCUCUAUUAGGGUGCAAGCCCGAGAGAGCCGCAGUGAAUAGGCCCAGGCGACUGUUUAGCAAAAACACAGGUCUCUGCAAAACCGUAAGGUGACGUAUAGGGGCUGACGCCUGCCCGGUGCUGGAAGGUUAAGAGGAGUGCUUAGCUUCGGCGAAGGUACGAAUUGAAGCCCCAGUAAACGGCGGCCGUAACUAUAACGGUCCUAAGGUAGCGAAAUUCCUUGUCGGGUAAGUUCCGACCCGCACGAAAGGCGCAACGAUCUGGGCACUGUCUCAACGAGAGACUCGGUGAAAUUAUAGUACCUGUGAAGAUGCAGGUUACCCGCGACAGGACGGAAAGACCCCGUGGAGCUUUACUGCAACCUGAUAUGGAAUGUUUGUACCGCUUGUACAGGAUAGGUAGGAGCCGAAGAGACGUGUGCGCUAGCAUACGAGGAGGCAAUGGUGGGAUACUACCCUGGCUGUAUGACCAUUCUAACCCGCCACGCUUAGCGCGUGGGGAGACAGUGUCAGGUGGGCAGUUUGACUGGGGCGGUCGCCUCCUAAAGAGUAACGGAGGCGCCCAAAGGUUCCCUCAGAAUGGAUGGAAAUCAUUCGCAGAGUGUAAAGGCACAAGGGAGCUUGACUGCGAGACUGACAAGUCGAGCAGGGACGAAAGUCGGGCUUAGUGAUCCGGUGGUUCCGCAUGGAAGGGCCAUCGCUCAACGGAUAAAAGCUACCCCGGGGAUAACAGGCUUAUCUCCCCCAAGAGUCCACAUCGACGGGGAGGUUUGGCACCUCGAUGUCGGCUCGUCGCAUCCUGGGGCUGUAGUCGGUCCCAAGGGUUGGGCUGUUCGCCCAUUAAAGCGGCACGCGAGCUGGGUUCAGAA